GGUUUGUGGCUCAGUGGCAGAGCACUCACCUAGCAUGUGUGAGGCCCUGGGUUCAAUCCUUAGCACCA
This 68-nucleotide transfer RNA is filed under the name Marmota monax (woodchuck). Its description in RNAcentral is "tRNA.Ala". The stretch from base 5 to 65 matches the Rfam family "tRNA", at positions 6 to 65 of the family's 71-position model. From Rfam's summary of the family: Transfer RNA (tRNA) molecules are approximately 80 nucleotides in length. Their secondary structure includes four short double-helical elements and three loops (D, anti-codon, and T loops). Further hydrogen bonds mediate the characteristic L-shaped molecular structure. tRNAs have two regions of fundamental functional importance: the anti-codon, which is responsible for specific mRNA codon recognition, and the 3' end, to which the tRNAs corresponding amino acid is attached (by aminoacyl-tRNA synthetases). tRNAs cope with the degeneracy of the genetic code in two manners: having more than one tRNA (with a specific anti-codon) for a particular amino acid; and 'wobble' base-pairing, i.e. permitting non-standard base-pairing at the 3rd anti-codon position. The record is from RNAcentral. Lineage: Eukaryota; Metazoa; Chordata; Mammalia; Rodentia; Sciuridae.